UACGGAGGGGGCUAGCGUUGUUCGGAAUUACUGGGCGUAAAGCGCACGUAGGCGGCUUUGUAAGUUAGAGGUGAAAGCCCGGGGCUCAACUCCGGAAUUGCCUUUAAGACUGCAUCGCUAGAAUUGUGGAGAGGUAAGUAGAAUUCCGAGUGUAGAGGUGAAAUUCGUAGAUAUUCGGAAGAACACCAGUGGCGAAGGCGACUUACUGGACACAUAUUGACGCUGAGGUGCGAAAGCGUGGGGAGCAAACAGG
RNAcentral lists this ribosomal RNA (253 nucleotides) under uncultured bacterium. RNAcentral describes it as "partial 16S ribosomal RNA". It matches the Rfam family "Bacterial small subunit ribosomal RNA", at positions 524 to 776 of the family's 1533-position model. The record is from RNAcentral.